GACGGAGGGGGCAAGCGUUGUCCGGACUCACUGGGCGUAAAGGGUGCGCAGGCGGCCGUCUGCGUCGGCGCUGAAAGCGCCCGGCUUAACCGGGCGAGGCGCGCCGAUACGAGGCGGCUCGAGGCACGGCGAGGAUGGGGGAACUCCUGGUGUAGUGGUGAAAUGCGUAGAGAUCAGGGAGAACACCCGUGGCGCAAGCGCCCAUCUGGCCGUGAACUGACGCUGAGGCACGAGAGCGUGGGGAGCGAACAGG
RNAcentral lists this ribosomal RNA (253 nucleotides) under uncultured bacterium. RNAcentral describes it as "partial 16S ribosomal RNA". It matches the Rfam family "Bacterial small subunit ribosomal RNA", at positions 524 to 776 of the family's 1533-position model. The record is from RNAcentral.